CCUACGGGCGGCAGCAGUGAGGAAUCUUGGUCAAUGGCCGGAAGGCUGAACCAGCCAUGCCGCGUGAAGGUCAGUGCCCUAUGGGCGUUAAACUUCUUUUGUGCGGGAGCAAUAAUGGUCACGUGUGGCCAGACGAGAGUACCGUACGAAUAAGCAUCGGCUAACUCCGUGCCAGCAGCCGCGGUAAUACGGGGGAUGCAAGCGUUAUCCGGAUUUAUUGGGUUUAAAGGGUGCGUAGGCUGUGAGGUAAGUCAGCGGUGAAAUGCCCCCGCUCAACGGGGUGAAGUGCCAUUGAUACUGCCUGGCUGGAAGGCGGAUGCCGUGGGAGGAAUGUGUGGUGUAGCGGUGAAAUGCAUAGAUAUCACACAGAACACCGAUUGCGAAGGCAUCUCACGAAUCCGCGAUUGACGCUGAUGCACGAAAGCGUGGGUAUCAAACAGGAUUAGAUACCCGAGUAGUC
Molecule: ribosomal RNA, 460 nt
Filed under: uncultured bacterium
Lineage: Bacteria
Description: partial 16S ribosomal RNA
Rfam family: Bacterial small subunit ribosomal RNA
Source: RNAcentral